AUGGAUGAAAUUGUGAAUUCAUAUUUUGAGUUGCUUUUUCGUUCUUCGGGUCCUCGGGAUCUUGAUUUUGUUUUUCAAGACAGUGAUCUAUGCUGAACCAACCCUAUAGUCGUUCGGAAAUUGAGAAUGCCCUGCCCUCAAAUCAAUCAGAUGUGUCCUUUGAAAGUGCUAGGUUCAGAUGGAAUUUUUGGCCUGAUGUUGGAGAUGAGGUAUCAAAGUUUAUUCUAAAUUUUCUUAACAAUAAAGGGGAUAUCUCUGAGGUUAAUAAGACAUAUAUUUGUUUGAUUCCUAAAGUGAAGACAACUAAGCCUAUGAAAAAUUUCUGAUCUUUGUUUUUCGAAGAUGGAGGGAGGGAGGCAUUGGUUUUAGGGAUUUUCAAUGAAGCACUCUUGGCCAAGUAAUGUUGUAGGAUUAUUAAAAAUCCUAAUUCACUUGUUUUUACAACCUAAAUAUUUUUAUGGUUCUUCUUUUUUGAGCUUUGGUCUAGGGAAAUCACCAUCUUAAUCUUUCUUGUGGCGGAGUCUGUGGAAUUCAAGAAGAUUACCCGAUUGUCGUCUGUGGUGGAGAAUUAGUAAUGGUGAAACUGCGAUAGCAACUAAAG
This 601-nucleotide long non-coding RNA is filed under the name Panax ginseng (ginseng). Its description in RNAcentral is "long non-coding RNA (PGIN_LNC000977)". The record is from RNAcentral. Lineage: Eukaryota; Viridiplantae; Streptophyta; Magnoliopsida; Apiales; Araliaceae.